RNAcentral lists this ribosomal RNA (433 nucleotides) under uncultured bacterium. RNAcentral describes it as "partial 16S ribosomal RNA". It matches the Rfam family "Bacterial small subunit ribosomal RNA", at positions 29 to 507 of the family's 1533-position model. The record is from RNAcentral.
AACGAACGCUGGCGGCAUGCCUAACACAUGCAAGUCGAACGAUACCUUCGGGUCUAGUGGCGCACGGGUGCGUAACGCGUGGGAACCUGCCCUUAGGUUCGGAGUAACUCCCCGAAAGGGGUGCUAAUACCGGAUAAUUUCUUCGGACCAAAGAUUUAUCGCCUUUGGAUGGGCCCGCGUUGGAUUAGCUAGUUGGUAGGGUAAAAGCCUACCAAGGCGACGAUCCAUAGCUGGUCUGAGAGGAUGAUCAGCCACACUGGGACUGAGACACGGCCCAGACUCCUACGGGAGGCAGCAGUGGGGAAUAUUGGACAAUGGGCGAAAGCCUGAUCCAGCAAUGCCGCGUGAGUGAUGAAGGCCUUAGGGUUGUAAAGCUCUUUUAACCGGGAUGAUAAUGACAGUACCGGGAGAAUAAGCGCCGGCUAACUCCGUG